GAUGAACGCUAGCGGUGUGCCUUAAGCAUGCAAGUCGAGCGGUCGCCUUUGGCGACAGCGGCGGACGGCUGAGUAACACGUAGGUAGCUACCCUUUAGUGGGGGAUAGCCUUGAGAAAUCAGGGAUAAUCCCGCAUAAUCCCCGUCUUUGGCGGGGGAAAGAGUUUAACUGCUCACUGAAGGAGGCGCCUGCGGCCUAUCAGCUUGUUGGUAGGGUAAUGGCCUACCAAGGCAAAAGACAGGUAGGGGGCGUGAGAGCGUGGCCCCCCAGAAUGGGACUGAGACACGGCCCAUACACCUACGGGUGGCAGCAACUGGGAAUCUUGCGCUAUGGGCGAAAGCCUGACGCAGCGACACCGCGUGAAGGAUGAAGGCCUUCGGGUUGUAAAGCACUUUUCGGGAGGAAGAGGAAGGACUGUACUCCCAGAAUAAAGCCUCGGCUAACUACGUG
RNAcentral lists this ribosomal RNA (450 nucleotides) under uncultured bacterium. RNAcentral's name for it is "bacterial SSU rRNA". It matches the Rfam family "Bacterial small subunit ribosomal RNA", at positions 28 to 507 of the family's 1533-position model. The record is from RNAcentral.